AACGCUGGCGGCAGGCCUAACACAUGCAAGUCGAGCGGAUGAAGGGAGCUUGCUCCUGGAUUCAGCGGCGGACGGGUGAGUAAUGCCUAGGAAUCUGCCUGGUAGUGGGGGAUAACGUCCGGAAACGGGCGCUAAUACCGCAUACGUCCUGAGGGAGAAAGUGGGGGAUCUUCGGACCUCACGCUAUCAGAUGAGCCUAGGUCGGAUUGGCUAGUUGGUGGGGUAAAGGCCUACCAAGGCGACGAUCCGUAACUGGUCUGAGAGGAUGAUCAGUCACACUGGAACUGAGACACGGUCCAGACUCCUACGGGAGGCAGCAGUGGGGAAUAUUGGACAAUGGGCGAAAGCCUGAUCCAGCCAUGCCGCGUGUGUGAAGAAGGUCUUCGGAUUGUAAAGCACUUUAAGUUGGGAGGAAGGGCAGUAAGUUAAUACCUUGCUGUUUUGACGUUACCAACAGAAUAAGCACCGGCUAACUUCGUG
Molecule: ribosomal RNA, 480 nt
Filed under: uncultured bacterium
Lineage: Bacteria
Description: partial 16S ribosomal RNA
Rfam family: Bacterial small subunit ribosomal RNA
Source: RNAcentral